Long non-coding RNA from Mustela lutreola (European mink), 503 nucleotides. RefSeq lists it as uncharacterized. The record is from RefSeq and is a predicted model, not a curated record. The transcript is spliced from 2 exons. NCBI's taxonomy places the organism in Eukaryota, Metazoa, Chordata, Mammalia, Carnivora, Mustelidae.
CCCCGCCAGCGGCCGGAAGCGGGUCUCCCCCCGGGAGCGGGGCCGCGCGCCCCCGCUCGGUGAUGAACCGGCAGCGCCCCGCCCUCGGGAGCACGGACGCGGAUUCUACUGGACGCGGAGAACGAGCACAAGCAGGGGAGCGGCGGAGAGAGCAGCUGAGCGGGGAGCACCAGGCGGGACUCGAUCCCAGGACCCCUAGAUCAUGCCGUGAGCCGAGGCCGCUGCUUAAUAGACGGAGCCACCCAGACACCCCUAGAUUCUACUUUUUAAGAAAAUGACGAGCCGCUUCUCAGGGCGACCUAACUGGACUCCCCACCGGCGCUGUGUGACCUCGGCAGCCUCCGCGCCCCGUUCGUCCUGGGCGCAGCCGCUCUAGUGCUGGAAGGGUCCCUGCGCACCGUCUUUUCCUGGGCUUGUUCGCCGCCCAUCGGCCCUCCUCGGUGAAGAGCUGGUUCAAACCUUUUGCCCAUUUAAAAAAUUAAAGCGCUGGGUCAUUAUCGAAA